RNAcentral lists this ribosomal RNA (455 nucleotides) under uncultured bacterium. Its description in RNAcentral is "bacterial SSU rRNA". It matches the Rfam family "Bacterial small subunit ribosomal RNA", at positions 340 to 786 of the family's 1533-position model. The record is from RNAcentral.
UACGGAAGGCAGCAGUGGGGAAUAUUGCACAAUGGGCGCAAGCCUGAUGCAGCCAUGCCGCGUGUAUGAAGAAGGCCUUCGGGUUGUAAAGUACUUUCAGUCGUGAGGAAGGUGUUAAGGUUAAUAACCUUAGCAAUUGACGUUAGCGACAGAAGAAGCACCGGCUAACUCCGUGCCAGCAGCCGCGGUAAUACGGAGGGUGCGAGCGUUAAUCGGAAUUACUGGGCGUAAAGGGCACGCAGGCGGUUAAUUAAGUUGGAUGUGAAAUCCCCGGGCUUAACCUGGGAAUGGCAUUCAAGACUGGUUAGCUAGAGUCUUGUAGAGGGGGUAGAAUUCCGAUGUGUAGCGGUGAAAUGCGUAGAGAUGUGGAGGAAUACCGGUGGCGAAGGCGGCCCCUGGACAAAGACUGACGCUCAUGUGCGAAAGCGUGGGGAGCAAACCAGGGAUUAGAUACC